GUUGCCUAGGCUGGAUUGCAGCGGUGCGAUCAGGACUCAUUGCAUCCUCAACCUCCCCGACUCAAGCAGUCCUCCCACCUCAGCCUCCUGAGUAGCAAGGCUACAUGACCCCUUGCGCUUCCCAAGUGAGGCAAUGCCUCGCCCUGCUUCGGCUCGCGCACGGUGCGCGCACCCACUGACCUGCGCCCACUGUCUGGCACUCCCUAGUGAGAUGAACCCGGUACCUCAGAUGGAAAUGCAGAAAUCACCCGUCUUCUGCGUUGCUGACGCUGGGAGCUGUAGACCGGAGCUGUUCCUAUUCGGCCAUCUUGGCUCCUCCCCUGCACUUUUCAAAUAAGAGACCUGGGGGAUUUUAGAACAGGGCUUUCAAGGUAAUGAAGGAAGAGAAUCUUCUUUGGACUUCUUUUUGCUCCAGAUGCGGAGAAGGCAACUUCCCGGAGUCUCUACCAGUGAGAAGGCUACAGAAUCAUGGGGAGAUAAGGUCUCGCUCUGUGGCUAUAGCUCACUGCAGCCUCAAAUUCCUGCGCUCAAGUAAUCCUCCCACCUCAGCUUCCCAAGUAGAUGGGACUACAGCGAUGGGGUCUCACUAUGUUGCCCAGGCUGGUCUCAAACUACAGUGGCUCAAACAAUCCUUCCAGUACUGCCUCCCGAGGUGCUGGGAUUAUAAGCGUGAGCCACAGCACCUGGCCACAGAGUACAUUUUAAAUGUCUUAAUAAAACGUGACAGAAAGUCUAGGUAGAAAGCAGCUAUCUUUGAUGACAGAAUGAUAAAGAAACCCACCUUUCUCCCAACAAUCCAUAAACACCCUGAGGAGAUGUCACCUUCUAUGUAAUAUCACUUGGAUACUGAAAAUUCUCCAUGAACUGGAAGAAUGUAUGCUUCAGUGUGGUAAACAGAAUUUCUAAAAUGACCUCUUCCUCCCUGAGAUAUCCUGACAUAAUACCCUAAAUUUGUAAGAUAACAUUCUUCUACCACGAAGAGGGAGAUUGACUAUUUUAUCAGUCAUUAAUUUUAAGAAUAUAUAUGUAAUAUAUAGCUUUUUUUUUUUUUUUUACUUUAACAUAUGUUCCCACAUAGCCAAAUGAUUCAACUCAGUACAGUUAACAACUUAGAAAGGGAUUCAUUGAAUUUUCCAGGUCUCUUCAUGGCCAGAGUUGCUUUGUAAGGAGACCCUAAAUGUGGAAUAAUCAACAUGUUAAAGUAAUCUAGAUGUUUAUGAUUUGAUAACUCUUUAGUGCAUUGUUUAACAACAUGUUUUCAAUUUACUUUCCUUCAAAUAGCUCCAAAUAACCCCGUGAUUUUGGAUGAUUGAUUAUGGGAAUGCUGCUUUCACUGUACAUCCAAGCUCUCCUGGCCUCAGCGGAUAAGUAUAUGAGAGCACAGUUUUCCUGGUGUCAGGAUAUGAAGAUCCAGGGAACAAAGAACCUCAAAGAACAACACCUGGAUUGUCAAGGUUUGGCCAGCAGUGCACUUUCUCCAACCUUACAGUCAUACGCAAGUUGUGGUUCUCCUGUCCAGCCUGCCACCACUGGACCAUCCCUGUAGACAUUCCUUCUCCCUUUGAAGAAAUCCACAAAAGAAAAAGCAAAAUACUGACAAGUUUUCAAAGCCAUGAUUUACAGGAAUGAAUUCUGAAAAGCAAGUGGCUAACAUCCGAGUUCAUCAUCAAAUAAUAUUUCUAAAGCACCCUCUAGUGUCUGGCCCCAAGCCAGAUGAUUCAACGCCUGGAGAAGCUACAGACUUUUUAAAAGUAAAAUAGACUCAUGUCUGCUCAUGAGAAGCAAGUCAGCGUCAUUUAGGAUGCCUUAGGAAUGUCUCUCUAAAUAAGGAUUAAAAAUGGAUUGCUGUAGAAAAAGUAAUACAAGUACAAACACUAAUAAUAUUGAAUGCAAUUUAAAUUCCAUUUUAAAAUAGAUAAUAGGGUUUAAAAUAACAUGUUGAAAAUUACACUGGAAUUAGCAAAAUUUAAAAUCUUAGGAAGAAAAAUCCUAAUUUGUAUGUGAAAAUGUUUUGAACUGAGGAAAAUUAAGACUAGCAAGAGUAGAUAGGGGUUGUCUAGUAGGAAUGUUAGACCCAUCAGCCAUCUGAUUAUGCUGCGACUGAUACUAGCGUGUAGUUUUCACCCAGUAAAUUAUCAAGUGGUGCAGUAGAAAAAGCAUGGUAUGUAGAAUCAUAAGACUCAUAGUCUGGGGUCACCUCUACUACUCACUUGGCCAUGUGGUUUGGAACACAUCACAAAAGAUUUAUGAGCCUUCGCUUCUUCACAUCUAAAAUCGUGAUUAUUUUGCCAACUCCAUGGAAUUGUUUAGACUUUAGAGGAUUACAUAGGAUACAAUGGACUAGUUCCUUGAACAAGUACUUGCCCCCAAAAUGUUACCAUUUUUUCUGGUUGUGUGACUGAUUUUGCAAUCAGCAAUUUAAUAAUAAUGCAUUCAACAGGUUUAUAAUAUGCAUUCAAUGUGACUCUUGCAUAUAUCUCAUAAAAACAAAUUUGAAUAUUUUUCUCAUUUUAUCACUCACAUAUCUUUGAGAAUGGGAUCAUAGUUUUAUUUUGAUAAUGAAGUAAUAGAGUCAAUUCCUGAACAGGCUAGUUGACUUUAAUGAGAAAUACCCAUUUAUUCACUCAUUCAUUUCAUUUUCAACUCUUAAAUCCAUAAUGGCCCCUUCACUAACUGCACUAACUGGGGUUCUUAUAUUAAUAAGAUGGACCAGAUGCUUCUAUCACCUCCAAAAAAUCUUUGUAGGCAGAGCAAUAAAGAGUACUGAAUCAUUUUAAGAAGUCGCAUAGACAAUGACUUUUGACCAUGGAAGGACUGGGCUUGAUCAAGCAAAUUCUAUUUCAAAGUUUUACUUGCAAGGUUAUUUAUUACUGUGUGGAAUCUCACUCCUGUGGCUGGGGUCAAGAAAAAUGGGGACACAGGUGUCUGCCUAUUUGCACAGGCAUUAAAAAGUGUUGUAAAAU
RNAcentral lists this long non-coding RNA (2963 nucleotides) under Homo sapiens (human). RNAcentral's name for it is "long non-coding RNA NONHSAT184300.1". The record is from RNAcentral. Lineage: Eukaryota; Metazoa; Chordata; Mammalia; Primates; Hominidae.